UAUGACGUUGCAAUUUACCUCAAGUGAGGGAAUCAUGAGACAGAAGGGAAGCAUUGCCUCAUUUUCAUUUCCACAUUACAAUCAACCAGAGCCUAUAAUUUAUUCCAGUAAAAUCCAUACCACUUUCUGGUGACCGUCCUACAUCAUCAAACGAAAGAGAGAAACUUUUUGGCUUGGACUUCGUCUUACUAAAAAAAAAAAAUUGUCAAGGAAGCUUUCGAAUUGAAACUCCCUGAGCAGAAAUUGAAACACCUCACACAGCCAGAAGUCAGAAAAUGGAAAAUAAACAAAACUCAG
RNAcentral lists this long non-coding RNA (297 nucleotides) under Eucalyptus grandis. RNAcentral describes it as "long non-coding RNA (EGRA_LNC004633)". Lineage: Eukaryota; Viridiplantae; Streptophyta; Magnoliopsida; Myrtales; Myrtaceae. The record is from RNAcentral.